GACGAACGCUGGCGGCGUGCUUAACACAUGCAAGUCGAACGGAAAGGCCCUGCUUGCGUGGGGUGCUCGAGUGGCGAACGGGUGAGUAACACGUGAGUAACCUGCCCUUGACUUUGGGAUAACUUCAGGAAACUGGUGCUAAUACCGGAUAGCAGCUCCUGCUGCAUGGUGGGGGUUGGAACGUUUCGGCGGAUGGGGAAGGACUCGGGGCUUAUCAGCUUGUUGGUGGGGUGGUGGCUUACCAAGGCUUUGACGGGUAGCCGGCCUGGGAGGGAGACCGGCUACAGUGGGCUACGGAAGCGAGCAGGGCUGAAUAGGGGGGCAGGGGUGGGAACUUUAGCCAGACGGGCGGAGGCUGGGUGGAGCGUCGCCGGGUUGGAGAGGACGUCAUGCGGGGUGGAAGCGGAUUACGCUUGUACCUAGCCGUUAGGACCGGUAAAGGAUAAUGAGGAACGGCUAACUUCGUG
This 467-nucleotide ribosomal RNA is filed under the name uncultured bacterium. Its description in RNAcentral is "partial 16S ribosomal RNA". It matches the Rfam family "Bacterial small subunit ribosomal RNA", at positions 28 to 507 of the family's 1533-position model. The record is from RNAcentral.